AAGAAUUCGUUCUCUCCAACCCACUUUUUAACAUGAACAGUCAUUUAUAAUAUUUAGGUACAUGAUAAUGAAAAAUAUAUAUAUUAUAUAUUAGGGUUUAUAUUAUUAAAAAAGGUAUAAAUAUGGAUAAGAAAGAUGGUGGAUCCAAGGUGGAUUAGACAGGGACAAUGUGGAGUGUACGGCUGACGUGGCGCAUCUGUAUCCUAGUAUCAUUCUGCUGUCGCUGUCGAAGCGUCACAGCCACUUGUUUUUUUGUGUGGAGGAGAUACGCUGCCCUAAUUUGCUGAAUUCAAAUACAUGCAUGUGCAUGUUGCCGUUUCAAUUCCUCCCAUGCACUUCACAUCCCAUCGCCAUCUUCCACCCAAUUCUUCAUAAUUAGUUUUUGAAAAAUAAACGUAGACUCUCCAAAAUUUAUGAAAAGAAAAAACAAAAGGUAAAUAUUCUAAACAAUUAUAUUGAAAGUAAUUAAAGAAAAAAAUUAAAUAAAAAUAAGAAAACAAACAAAAUUAUAUAAUGCAUGACUCUAAUAAAAAAUGAAAAAAAACUAUUCAAUCCAACAAAUAUAAAUGAAAUUGACUCUUAGCAGUGGUAUAUUAAUGCACGUUACUACUAUUCUUUACUUAGUACUUUUUUAUCGAUUAAAAAUAAAUAAUUUAAUUAAAAUAUUUAAGGGAUAUUUUAAUUUUAUAUAAAAAAAUAGAAGCAAGAUGCGCAGUAUCCAAAACACCAAUUUACUUAGUAUAUAAACAUAAAUAUUUAUAUAUUUUGUUACAUUACUAUUUAAUGUUAUUGGUUUGGUUCAAAAAAAAUCGUUGCAAGGGUACUCUUUAAAUCAAUUUAACUUUAUUAAUUUUUAAGGAUCACAUAGAGACUAGAGAUGAAUAUAUAUGUCCACUAGUAUAAAAUUUUUAUUUAUGAGAAUACAUUUAUAACAUUUUUACGAAUAGACGUUGUCUCUACACGGUGAUAUUUUUUAAAUUAAAUUCGUCUAAAACGAUAAAGUCGCCUUUUUUUAUGAAAUGUUUUGGACUAAAAUGAUGACUUUACACCAUAGCCGCCGUUUUAAAGUCUUUUUACUACACUAAUUCAUUGCGCGUAAGUUACGCUUUCAUAUUUUCUUAUCUUGUGACGAUUUGUUUUCCUCUUCUUUGCUCUUUAUGCUUCUUUUUCAUCUCGAGUCAUUGUCAUUUUCGGACCAUUGCCAUCUUCGAGCCAAUGUGUAAGUUUCUUUCGAGCUCUCUACUUCUUCUUCACCAUUGUUUAUUUGUUUAUUUUUGUUUCUCUUAUUUGUUUAUUUUCUCCAUUGUUGUGAAGGUUUUGAUACCUACUAAUGUUUCAUUGCCUUGCACGUUGUUCUUUGGGUUUUCACUGUGCCUCCAUUUGGUUCUUCGUUGCUGUCACUGCCAUUGCCAUUGUCGCCGCUCUUCACCACCACCAUUGUCUUCACUCACAAGGUUGGUGGUAUUUUAAAUUUUUUUAAUAUUUUUUUAGUGUUAUAAAUUUUUUUAUUUUUUAUUUAUUAUAAUUUAUAUUUUUUAAUUUUUUAAUUUUUUUUUUAGUUUUUAUGUUCGAGUAGAAUUAUUAAAUUAUUAGAUUGUAGAUAGUUUUAUAUUAUUUACUAUUUAUAAUUAAUUAAAUGAUUUUAAUUAGUAUAUUUAAUAUUUAUUAUAAUUUGUAUUUAUUAUUAAUUUAUAUUAUGUUAGUUGUUAGGUUAGAAUAAAAUUAUUGUUUUGGUAUUGAGUUUGAGGGUGUUCGAUCCUGGACGAUUGAUACGUGUUGGUAUUGAGUCUGAGAGUGUUCGACCCUCGAUAAUUGAUACCUGUUCUAUUGAGUCCAAAGAUGUUCGACUCUCGGCAAUUGAUACAUGUUGGUAUUGAGUCUGAGGGUGUUCGACCCUCGACAAAUGUGAGAUUUUACAAUCAUUAGUAAACACCUGAAUAACCACUACAGAACAUAAUAGAUCGAAAUUAGAUUAAUUAUGUUCACAUAAGUGAUGAGUAUUAAAGAGGAGUAAAAGAAUUUAUACAAUUUGUUCAACGUAAUGCCAAUAAUAGUGGUAAUGAUGGAGUAAAGAUUAGGUGUCUAUGCGUUAAUUGUUUGAAUGGAAGGAGAUUGAAUGUUAAGAAAAUCAUGGAGCACCUUCUAUGUGAUAAGUUUCUUUGAUCUUAUACAACUUGGACAUGACAUUGUGAAUUCUUGAAUUUACCACGUGUUUCCGUAUCUGAAGAAUAUGUGGGAUCCGAUGCAUUACAUGGUGAAGUACAUGAUGAUCGAUUGGAGGACAUGAUUCGUGAUGUGGGAGAUGAGUCUUUUGCAGAAGCGCAUGGAUAUAAACGUAUGUCAAGUUAUGCAAAGACUUCAUUGUAUCCUGGAUCAACUAACUUUACACGAUUUUCAGCGGUGUUAAGAUUGAUAAAUUUGAAGACAAUAAAUGGAUGGACUAAUAAAAGCUUCACGGAAUUGCUUCAAUUGUUGAAGGAUAUGCUUAUAGAGAAAAAUACUCUACCUAAUCGUAAUUAUGAGGCCAAAAAAAUGUUUUAUCUGAUGGGUAUGGAGUAUAAAAAGAUAUACAUGCAUGUCCUAAUGAUUGUAAAUUAUACAGGAAAUAUUUUAAAUUGUUGAAAAGUUGUCCGAGGUGUGAGUUAUCAUGUUAUAAGUUGAAACAAAAAGAUUAUGAUACUAUGGAAGAGAUAGAAAAGCAUGGACCCCAAUGAAGGUUAUGUGGUAUCUUCCCAUCAUUCUAAGGAUGAAGUGAUUGUUUUCAAACACAAAUGAUGCUAAGAAUCUUAAAUGACAUACAUAUGAGAGGAAAUGUGAUGGAAUGUACCGACAUCCAGCUGAUUCUAUUCAAUAUAAGAAAUUUGAUGACGAGUUUUCAGAGUUUGGUAAAGAAUCAAGAAAUAUCCGACUUGGUUUAGGUACAGACGGAAUGAAUCCGUUUAGUAAUAUGAGUACGAAUCACAGUUCAUGGCCUAUGGCCUAUUUUACUAGGAGUUGAAACUUGUUUAUUAAGCUUUUCUAUGCUAAUAUUUUUAGCAUUGAACUUUAUACGGUGCUCAAUAAUGUGCUUUUUUUUCUUCUCUUUCUUAGGAUGGUGACAUUAAAUUUGAACAUAUAAUAUCAAGCACCAGUUUUCCUUCCUGCAUUUAAUUGGUUUUGGUACACAUCUUUUCUUUUUAUCACUUUUGAUACUUCAUCUAGUUAGGAUUAUCAGCGAGAGGAACAUUUUGUCACACUCAAAUAUUGAGGUAGACAUUAUUUUAUUAUUUUAAUGUUACAUUAUACAGAAGUUCAUAAUCGACGACAUGAUUAAGGUCAACUCAUGUUUUGUUAUUUUUUGUCUCUCUCAAUGAGAAUUAUAAUUGAGGGGGCGAAUAACAAAAUCUAACAAGCUGGAUAUGGUAACUCGAAAUUCCUAGGAGUUCAUGAAUGAAUGAUUCGCCCAAAUAUGAUAUGAAUGCAAGCUUUUUUUCUUUCAUCCUUUAACUUUUUUCUUCUGCUUGCUAUUUACAGGGUUAACCCACCAAAUUCUUUCUUCUGCUUGGUAAUAACCCACCGACUUUCAGCUUUGAAUCAAUAACCACUAAACCAAUCCUUUGUGGACUAUAAUUUUAGCAAGUACUAUUGAUCAAUCUGGAUAACUUUCCAAGCUUCCCAUGUGCAAAUUAUGUGGGAAGAAAAGCUACACGCCAGAAAUCCUAAACAUUAAAGAAUAAAUUCUAGAAAGUGAAAAACAGAAAAUGAAGGUUAAGAAAAAGGAAACAGAAUAAGAUAACCUCAGGAAGAAAAAAAAUAGUAGCAAAUAGAGGUCGUGUAGCUACAAAAAAAUUCAUUGCUAAAGGUCAAUUUCAAACUUCCCACUUGUAUGGAAGCAGCUAGCGGGUUAACCGUGAGCUUGGUUCGAAUCAAUAGCCUCUAAACAUGAGUUUGAGUAGAAAGAAGCAAAGGCAAACAGCUGCUUUUUUCAGAAGCAACUCAUUGCUGUGAAUAUUGUGUCCUUGACGGUGACAGGUUAACCAAUGAAAGUUUAUUGGGAGUCACUGAACUCGUGUAGAACAGUUUUCAUAUGAUAUACAUUCAAUUUUUUUAACUAUAAAAAUUAAAAUAUCACUGUGUAGAUAAUGAUUGCUAAGAAUCAUCUAAUAAUUUUCUGAGGCUAGGAAUUAAAACAUGGAAUAUCAUUAGAUAAGAGUACUACAUAUAUAAUAAUUUUUCAUCAUACGUGAUUAGUUUACUUUUUUCCUCAUCUUUCAAAUUACCUACUUAUCUUAUAACAUUUAUUCACCUUUCUUUUUCUCUUCAUAUCUAUCAUCUGUGCUACUCCCUUUUCGAAUUAAAAAUCUAUGAACUGUCUUAAAUUUAAGUUAUGAAGAGUGUGAUACUCUGAGCUUAAAAAGAAUCACUUUAAUGAAAGGAUAAAUAAGACAACAACAAGCCAGUGAAAAGAAAGCAUGCCAGACUUGGACCACAGUGACAAACUCAACUCAUUACUAGACAACAGUCACCGUAAUGAAAUGAAUGUACAGGAAUAAAAACAAUCUCCUUAUAGCAACAACCAAGCACGCCAUAUAACCCGCUGUUACUCUCAAACCCUUAAUCUAUUCAGACCACGAAAAACCAACUACAUCAUCCAUGGCAACCCCCAGCCCCACCAGAUUAUCCCUUGCCAUGGAGAGAACCGGGCAAUGGUAAACACCACUCGGCUCCUUCAUUUUCAAUAUUCUCACGACUUAACUUAUUCUCCUAUGCACAGUUUCAAGAAUCAAUUAGUGAGUUGUGUUAAUGUUAGUUGUUAUGAGAAUAAAUUUCAUGAAUCAAUUGUUGUUGCAGGAUUUUCUCCCCAGAAAUUCCAACCGAUGUUAUUGUUGCAGUGGGAGAAGCCAAUUUUUCUCUCCACAAGGUACCAAAAUUUUGCACUGUUGCAAGGAACUUCAUCAAUUCUUCUUAUAUAUGUGAUUUUGGGUAUUGAAUUUGUAAGUGUUGGAUUUGUUAACAGUUUAUUCUGGCCGCAAAAAGCAACUCCAUCAGAAAGGUCAUAAUGGAAUCAGAGGAGAGUGACUUAACCAGAAUAGACCUCACGAACAUACCUGGAGGCCAAGAAGCUUUCGAGAAAGUAGUGAAGUUUUGUUACGGCGUCAACUUCGAGAUCACCGUUCACAACGUCGCUCCACUGCACUGCGCCGCCGUAUUCCUCCAGAUGACCGACGAGUAUUGCGACGGAAACCUUGCCG
Molecule: long non-coding RNA, 5231 nt
Filed under: Phaseolus vulgaris (common bean)
Lineage: Eukaryota; Viridiplantae; Streptophyta; Magnoliopsida; Fabales; Fabaceae
Description: long non-coding RNA (PVUL_LNC001881)
Source: RNAcentral